GUGGGGAAUAUUGGACAAUGGGCGAAAGCCUGAUCCAGCCAUGCCGCGUGUGUGAAGAAGGUCUUCGGAUUGUAAAGCACUUUAAGUUGGGAGGAAGGGUAGUAACCUAAUACGUUGCUACUUUGACGUUACCGACAGAAUAAGCACCGGCUAACUUCGUGCCAGCAGCCGCGGUAAUACGAAGGGUGCAAGCGUUAAUCGGAAUUACUGGGCGUAAAGCGCGCGUAGGUGGUUCAGUAAGUUGGAAGUGAAAUCCCCGGGCUCAACCUGGGAACUGCAUUCAAAACUGCUGAGCUAGAGUACGGUAGAGGGUGGUGGAAUUUCCUGUGUAGCGGUGAAAUGCGUAGAUAUAGGAAGGAACACCAGUGGCGAAGGCGACCACCUGGACUGAUACUGACACUGAGGUGCGAAAGCGUGGGGAGCAAACAGGAUUAGAAACCCCUGUAGUCC
Molecule: ribosomal RNA, 450 nt
Filed under: uncultured bacterium
Lineage: Bacteria
Description: partial 16S ribosomal RNA
Rfam family: Bacterial small subunit ribosomal RNA
Source: RNAcentral